RNAcentral lists this transfer RNA (77 nucleotides) under Escherichia coli. RNAcentral describes it as "tRNA-Pro". It matches the Rfam family "tRNA". Rfam says of the family: Transfer RNA (tRNA) molecules are approximately 80 nucleotides in length. Their secondary structure includes four short double-helical elements and three loops (D, anti-codon, and T loops). Lineage: Bacteria; Pseudomonadati; Pseudomonadota; Gammaproteobacteria; Enterobacterales; Enterobacteriaceae. The record is from RNAcentral.
CGGCACGUAGCGCAGCCUGGUAGCGCACCGUCAUGGGGUGUCGGGGGUCGGCGGUUCAAAUCCUCUCGUGCCGACCA